This 69-nucleotide transfer RNA is filed under the name Ictidomys tridecemlineatus (thirteen-lined ground squirrel). RNAcentral describes it as "Spermophilus tridecemlineatus (thirteen-lined ground squirrel) tRNA". It matches the Rfam family "tRNA". Rfam says of the family: Transfer RNA (tRNA) molecules are approximately 80 nucleotides in length. The record is from Rfam by way of RNAcentral. Lineage: Eukaryota; Metazoa; Chordata; Mammalia; Rodentia; Sciuridae.
AGGGAUAUAGUUCAGUAGUAGAGCAGUUGCCUAGCAUGCAUCAGGCCCUGGGUUCAAUCCCCAGUCCUA